AACAUCGGGGCAAGACCGCUCAAC
RNAcentral lists this non-coding RNA (24 nucleotides) under Arabidopsis thaliana (thale cress). The record is from RNAcentral. Lineage: Eukaryota; Viridiplantae; Streptophyta; Magnoliopsida; Brassicales; Brassicaceae.